This is a long non-coding RNA of Gymnogyps californianus (California condor), 2022 nucleotides long. RefSeq lists it as uncharacterized. The record is from RefSeq and is a predicted model, not a curated record. Lineage: Eukaryota; Metazoa; Chordata; Aves; Accipitriformes; Cathartidae. The transcript is spliced from 2 exons.
AGAUUUGGUGCACAGAGGAGCUUGGUGCCAGGUGGCCCCAGGGCAGAGAAGUGGCAUCAGUGCUGGGGUGCUGAAGAGCAGCUCUGUACAAGGCCAUGAAAACUCCUUAAAAGGUGCUGGAGUAGUGUCUCUGGCUUUUUUCAAUUAAGCUUAAUGACCAAGUUAAAAAAAACCUCCAAACAUAGCUGGAUGCUGGAGCUCAUGAUAACGCUUAUCUUCUCUAUACAUCCAAAGCCUCUCCUUGCCUUAUUUCCAGUUCUCACUGACAUGUGCAUUAAACACAUUUCUUGCAGCAGAGCACUAGUAAAAGCUACAGGGGCAGCCAAGGAAGGUAAGCAAGAAAUUGAGAAGUGUCUGAAGUCCACAGGCGAGGCAAUUCCCACAGAUCUGCCAUUCUCUGAUCUCCCCUCAUCAAGGUCUCCUUCUCCUCACAUAGACUAGACUAGACUCUUUCAGUUGGAAGGGACCUACAACGAUCACCUAGUCCAACCGCCUGACCAUUUCAGGGCUGACCAAAAGUUAAAGCAUGUUAUUAAGGGCAUUGUCCAAAUGCCUCUUAAACGCGGGGAGGCUUGGGGCAUCGACCACCUCUCGAGGAAGCCUGUUCUAGUGUUUGACCAUCCUCUCGGUAAAGAAAUGCUUCCUCAUGUUACGUCUGAGCCUCCCCUGGCGCAGCUUUGAACCAUUCCCACGCAUGACGCGUGGAUCCCAGGGAGUAGAGAGCAGCACCUCCCUCUCCACGUCCCCUCCUCAGGAAGCUGCAGAGAGCAAUGAGGUCGCCCCUCAGCCUCCUUUUCUCCAAACAAGACAAACCCAGAGUGCUCAGCCGCUCCUCAGAGGACAUGCCUUCCAGCUGUAGAUCUGCUCCGGAGAACUGGGAUUUUGAGGAAAUGACGUUCAAAGGACAUGCUAGACCUGGAAAAGGUGGGGGGUCCCCACUCCCAGGGACCUUGCUUUGUCCUCUCCUGCUAACUCCUGCUCUUAGGAGAAGAAAAGGUGAAUGUAGGUGAAGGGGAACAUUGCCUGGGUCCAGCCUGGAUUCCUUCUUCUCCAGCUACAUUGCUGGUUGGACCCUCUUAGUGCCAACUCGUCACCUUUGUGGUGGCAGCUGGGCACAGGCAACAGCAUUGGUGUCCCUGGUCUCCUCCAAUGCCAUGGGGUCUGGUCCUCGCAUCUCUGGAGAAUAGCCAAGGAGGCGGCCGAGUUGCGUGCCGACCAGCUGCCUGGUGCCCGGAGCCCCGGGUCCUGCGGAGAGAUCCCAGCCACGAGCACACACAUACCUGCAGAGUCCCAAAACCAAUCCUGAAACGUGAGGGGUCUCUUUGAAGCACAGAGCACCCUCCUUGUCAUGGGAAACACCCCAAAGGACUUGUCCCGUGUGGUGAGGAACACCUACCUCAACCAAGAAAAGGAAAUUGCUUUCUGAAAGCCAGCUUAGCCACCCUGAUGCAGGCAGGGUGAGACCGGAGGAAAGCUGGGUUUCUCAACAGAUGGGUGCCCUGGAUCCUCUUCACUGGAAUUUUGUGUUUUGGAGGGUGAGAAAAGGUUUAAUGGGUUCCUCUUUGCUGUGCCCCCCCCAAAAAUAAUAAUAAAAAAACCCCAACUCUUUGGCAGCUGAGUUGCAUAAUUGCAGCGUUUUGGUAGGAAAUACAACAAUUUCAUGUAGGAUCGCACCAUGAAGACUCACAGGAGUUUACAUUCAGCGCUCUUCUUGUGCAAGAGGUAUCUCUGCGUUCUGGUGCCACUGCAGAGCCUGCGUGGACGGCGCGUCACAGCUGCGACCAAGCAAAGGCAUGGGGCCGGCAGUCGACCCGCUGCCGCACCGGUCGGUGGCCGGGCAUGGAGGCCAGCGGGGAACUCACGAAGCCCACGGUCUCGUCAGCACCAAGGUGGGGCCUGUCCUGGCAGCAAAGGCAGAGCAGGGUGUUGAUCAGACCUACGUGAUCCUCCCUGUGCCCGGGGGAACAGGCUGCAGCGACGGGCAGUGGAGGCAACUCAAUAAACAGUUUUUUCUCAACGCUA